This 1205-nucleotide long non-coding RNA is filed under the name Oryzias javanicus (javanese ricefish). RNAcentral's name for it is "lncRNA (ENSOJAG00000017599.1)". The record is from RNAcentral. Lineage: Eukaryota; Metazoa; Chordata; Actinopteri; Beloniformes; Adrianichthyidae.
GACGAUCAUGUGAAGAACCGGGAACGUUCGGGACAACCGAACGUUGAGCCUCAGCCGGAGCGGUACCGGCGGGUUCUGGAGAUCCAGAGAGCGGAGCAGCUUUCAUCUGCCCAGAACGGUGGCCAGCAGCGCCAUCCGGAUGUACAUGCCGUUCUCCGCCUGCCGGAAGUACGCCGCCCGGGGGUCCGUGUCCACCUCGGCGCUGAAAGAGUCGCAGCUUUCAAGCAGACGACAGGAGCAGCUCUGGCGUCCUCGGUCCGAGUCUUACCUGAUCUCGUUGACUCGCGGCAGAGGAUGCAUGACCACCAUCUUCUUCUUGGCGGCCGUCAUGAUGUGGGGGGUGAGGAUGAACUGACCGAAGCACUGUCACAGAAAGCGUUGAGGGUUAGGGCGCCGCCUCGGCUGAACAAACAGCAGCGGGGCGGAGCUUACGGCCUUGUACUCCUCCUCAGAACCGAAGCGCUCCUUCUGGAUCCUCGUCACGUAGAGGACGUCCGUCUCAGGCAGCGCCUCCUCGAUGCUGUCGAACUCCUCCUGUAGGAGCGGGGGGAGGAGCAGGAGCGUUCAGGCCGACUCCUCCUGACCGUUUCAGAGCAGAACUUCACCUUUUACCCCCACCUGAUUGAUGCCCUUAGAGGCGACGUAGUCGAUGAUCUCUGCAGGCAUGUGGAGGUUCCUCGGCGCCACGUAGCGCAGAGCGAUGCGGUACUGGGUCAGCAGCUUGGCCAGAGAGUGGACGGUGCGUCCGUGCUUCAGGUCCCCCACCAUGGUGAUCUGACAGAGGCACAGGCGUUAGCGGCGUGGGGGCCUCCGGCCGAGCCGCCGGGGUCCCGGCGCUGCUCACCGUCAUGCCGUUGACCGUCCCCAGCUCCUCCCUGAUGGUGAAGACGUCCAGCAGGGCCUGGGUGGGAUGCUCGCCCACGCCGUCGCCGGCGUUGAUCACGGGCUUACGGCAGUGGCGAGACGCGCUCUGCAGGGGGUGGAGAGAAGGUCUCAGAACUGCUGAGAGCAUCAGAGUCUCUCAGAUCAGAUAGUCUAACCCUCUGGAGCUGACCAGAGUAAAAAUAAAAGAAACUUAGUUUAAUAUUUUGAUUUUAUGGAUGAAAGAAAGAAUACAGAAUCUAUUUGUUGUUUCUGGACAUGAGAGAUGUUUAAAUGAAAUAAACGAGGCUCCAGCAUGGAGUGCAGGACCUGCUGUGGGAGGC